CCUACGGGAGGCAGCAGUGGGGAAUAUUGCACAAUGGGGGAAACCCUGAUGCAGCGACGCCGCGUGAGUGAAGAAGUACUUCGUUAUGUAAAGCUCUAUCAGCAGGGAAGAAAAUGACGUUACCUAAGUAAGAAGCCCCGGCUAACUACGUGCCAGCAGCCGCGGUAAUACGGAGGGGGCAAGGGUUAUCCGGAUUUACUGGGUGGAAAGGGAGCGUAGACGGCAGUGCAAGUAUGGAGUGAAAGACGGGGGCUCAACCCCCGGAUUGAUCUGGAAACUGUACGGCGGGAGUGCAGGAGAGGUAAGUGGAAUUCCUAGUGUAGGGGUGAAAUGCGUAGAUAUUAGGAGGAACACCAGUGGCGAAGGCGGCUUACUGGACUGUAACUGACGUUGAGGCUCGAAAGCGUGGGGAGCAAACAGGAUUAGAUACCCCUGUAGUC
RNAcentral lists this ribosomal RNA (440 nucleotides) under uncultured bacterium. RNAcentral's name for it is "partial 16S ribosomal RNA". It matches the Rfam family "Bacterial small subunit ribosomal RNA", at positions 338 to 795 of the family's 1533-position model. The record is from RNAcentral.